Molecule: ribosomal RNA, 397 nt
Filed under: alpha proteobacterium BAL167
Lineage: Bacteria; Pseudomonadati; Pseudomonadota; Alphaproteobacteria
Description: bacterial SSU rRNA
Rfam family: Bacterial small subunit ribosomal RNA
Source: RNAcentral
CACAUGCAAGUCGAGCGCGUAGCAAUACGAGCGGCAGACGGGUGAGUAACGCGUGGGAAUCUACCCAUCACUACGGAAUAACUCAGGGAAACUUGUGCUAAUACCGUAUACGCCCUUCGGGGGAAAGAUUUAUCGGUGAUGGAUGAGCCCGCGUUGGAUUAGCUAGUUGGUGGGGUAAAGGCCUACCAAGGCGACGAUCCAUAGCUGGUCUGAGAGGAUGAUCAGCCACAUUGGGACUGAGACACGGCCCAAAGUCCUACGGGAGGCAGCAGUGGGGAAUAUUGGACAAUGGGCGCAAGCCUGAUCCAGCCAUGCCGCGUGUGUGAUGAAGGCCUUAGGGUUGUAAAGCACUUUCACCGGAGAAGAUAAUGACGGUAUCCGGAGAAGAAGCCCCGGC